RNAcentral lists this ribosomal RNA (382 nucleotides) under uncultured bacterium. RNAcentral's name for it is "bacterial SSU rRNA". It matches the Rfam family "Bacterial small subunit ribosomal RNA", at positions 28 to 413 of the family's 1533-position model. The record is from RNAcentral.
GAUGAACGCUAGCGGGAGGCCUAAUACAUGCAAGUCGAACGGUAAGGUCCUUCGGAUACACGAGUGGCGGACGGGUGCGUAACGCGUACGGAAUAUACCUUCAACAGGGAGAUACCUCCGGGAAACUGGAAUUAAUACCCCAUAGUAUUAUAGAUUCGCAUGAAUUUAUGAUUAAAAGCUCAGGCGGUUGAAGAUUAUCGUGCGUCUGAUUAGGUAGUUGGUAGGGUAAUGGCCUACCAAGCCAACGAUCAGUAGCUGGUCUGAGAGGAUGAUCAGCCACACUGGAACUGAGACACGGUCCAGACUCCUACGGGAGGCAGCAGUAGGGAAUAUUGGGCAAUGGAGGCAACUCUGACCCAGCCAUCCCGCGUGCAGGAAUAAA